Juglans regia (Persian walnut) is the source of this 512-nucleotide long non-coding RNA. RefSeq lists it as uncharacterized. Lineage: Eukaryota; Viridiplantae; Streptophyta; Magnoliopsida; Fagales; Juglandaceae. The record is from RefSeq and is a predicted model, not a curated record. The transcript has 2 exons.
ACUAGAAAUUAGAGUUGUGUUCGGAAUCCCACGAUCUCCUCCCAAUCGACAGUCGGCAAAACAAGGACUAGGAGGCUUUAAAAAGGUAAAAAUAAAAAAUCCCCAGUCCGAAAACAAGAAUAAAAGCAAAGAAAAUUGGCCUAAUCGAAUCCCACACAGUUUCAAAAGAAGCUCAACGCGUCAAGAUCGGGUCUAGGGUUUCCCUCUCUCGCUUCUGAAGCAACUUUACCUCUUCCAAUUUCGCAGAUUUCUCUCAUAAACCCAAUCCAAAGCAAAGCUCGUGAUUCUUUCAUCUCAUUCCAGGCGGGUGGUGACUCUUGUGUGGAAAGGGUGGUGUUGUGAAUCGUUGUUGUUGAAGGAUUGAAUUGGUGGAAGAGCUCAAAUGCCGGAGGAGGACCUGGUGGAGCUCAAGUUCCGAAUCUAUGAUGGAUCUGAUAUUGGUCCUUUCCGUUACUCACCAGCCUCGACUGUUGCAAUGGUCAAGGAGAAAAUUGUCACCGAGUGGCCAAAAG